CGGCAACUGUUGUAGUCCUGAUUAGCCACUGUUUAUUGCUACAUAUAUUCGGUUAACCGAUAUCACUUCUGCUGUACCUUUUGGUGUUGAGACAACUGUUGUAGUCCUGAUUAACCACUGUGCAUUGCUACAUGUAUUCGAUCUGAUAAAUCUUUAUUUGUUGUUAUAUUUUAUUUCGUUUGAAUUAGCUGUGCUUUGAACAAAAU
Molecule: long non-coding RNA, 206 nt
Filed under: Mytilus galloprovincialis (Mediterranean mussel)
Lineage: Eukaryota; Metazoa; Mollusca; Bivalvia; Mytilida; Mytilidae
Source: RNAcentral